RNAcentral lists this transfer RNA (65 nucleotides) under Mekongiella kingdoni. RNAcentral describes it as "tRNA-Pro". The record is from RNAcentral. Lineage: Eukaryota; Metazoa; Arthropoda; Insecta; Orthoptera; Pyrgomorphidae.
CAGGGGUUAUUUUAUUAAAAUACUAGCUUUGGAUGUUUGAGAUAAGAAAAGGUUCUUACCCCUGA